Molecule: ribosomal RNA, 253 nt
Filed under: uncultured bacterium
Lineage: Bacteria
Description: partial 16S ribosomal RNA
Rfam family: Bacterial small subunit ribosomal RNA
Source: RNAcentral
UACAGAGGGGGCAAGCGCUAUUCGGAAUUAUUGGGCGUAAAGGGCGCGUAGGCGGCCUGGCAAGUGGAAGGUGAAAUCCCUCGGCUUAACCGAGGAACUGCCCUCCAAACUGCUUGGCUUGAGUCCGGGAGAGGUGAGUGGAAUUCCCAGUGUAGCGGUGAAAUGCGUAGAUAUUGGGAGGAACACCAGUGGCGAAGGCGGCUCACUGGACCGGAACUGACGCUGAGGCGCGAAAGCGUGGGGAGCAAACAGG